Brassica rapa (field mustard) is the source of this 13598-nucleotide long non-coding RNA. RefSeq lists it as uncharacterized. NCBI's taxonomy places the organism in Eukaryota, Viridiplantae, Streptophyta, Magnoliopsida, Brassicales, Brassicaceae. The record is from RefSeq and is a predicted model, not a curated record.
ACGUUUCAGUCCUUUCCGCGUCGUAUAUGGUGUCAUUCCGCGUGGUCCCCUGGCUCUAGGCGUGGCUCCGGAUAUGUCCCGGGAUCAUGGUCAAGCUUUGGAUUUUGUGGCUACUGUAUCGUCUAUACAUGCUCAAGUCCACGAAAAUCUACAGCUCUCUUCGGCAAAAUAUAAAGCCAGUGCUGAUCGCCAUAAACGAGAUGUGCAGUUCAAGGUUGGAGAUCGUGUGUGGGCAGUCCUCACGCGUGAGCGUUUUGCGGCUGGAGAGUAUAACAAGUUGAAAUCACGGAAGAUAGGUCCUUUGGAAGUAGUCGAGAAGAUUAAUGCUAAUGCUUAUCGUCUUCUAUUGCCCCCGGACGCAAGGUUCUCUGACGUUUUUAACGUUAAACAUCUCAUCCCAUUUGUUGCUCAAGACGACCCUGAAGAUCCGAGGUCGGAUCUUUCCUCACCCCGGGUGACCUGAUGCAGCGUGGAUCUUACUUUCCUUUUCGGUUUUGGCUUUCUUUUCCUUUUCCGUUUUAACCUUAAGAUAAACGUUAGUUUUCCUUUUUAUGUUAGGUCUUAAACCCUAAAGACUUAGGACUUUACAUUAGCUAUAUAUAGUCAUCUCUUGGCUUUGUAAGAGGGACACAUUAUUAUUGAUUUAUAAAAACAGAGCUUUGGCUUUAAACUCUUGAUUACGGCUAGUUCAUUGGUUGAACUCAACGGAUUCAAGUUCAUAGGUACUUUUGGGGAUUCUCAGACUAAACAAUCGUUCCUAUUCUAUCGGUUACUCUAUCAACUACAUAGCCUGUUGGUUACAAUGGCUUGGAUUUAGAAUGUACACAAGUAAUUACACAACCCAACCAACAAAUCAUGUAUUAUUAAUACUUUUAAUCCUCUUAACCUGACAGAGAGAAGGGAUAAAGAGGGAUAAAUAAUUCACAUUACCCAAUAAAGAUUAAGACUCACAAAAUCUCAUUUACAAAAGAAAAUAGAAAUGAGAACAAAAAUGAAUGAUGUGAUUUAAACAUGAAAAUGUAAUGAGUAGGUCCAAACAUUUUGUAGUGACGCCUCGUGGCCGGCGCACCAAUUCACCGAGACAACUUAAACAUUUUACUUAACAUGCUUACUUUGAUAGUCGAUUCCACAAUUGAGUUCAUUUAAAAGAAGAAAAUGGUGCAAUACUUUCCAUUGACUUGAGAAAACUUCAGGAAACUUUAAUUUGACCCUAAAGAAAAUUAAUAACGCUUUAAUGUUCGUUUUUUUUUUUCUUUUUUUUGAGAAGGGCAUAAUUUGUAAUGUUCGUUCUUUGUUGAUAGAGUAAUCGGUAAAUUGUAGGUAAUACGCUGUUUACAGUUGAGUUAAUAGUAUUGAUAUCAUUUGAUGUGGUUGUUUGUCGCUGUCGUCAAGAUAUGAAAAUAAUGUAUAUUGUUUGAUUUUUAAGUAGUUGUACUCGUGAUUUUACUAUUCCAAUAGUUUUUAAUUUUUUUGUCAAAAUAAUUUUGUUUAAAGAAGACUAUAUAACAGCUUUGUGUUCAGUUUAUGUUAAUUUGAUUCGUUAAUCUGGACAAAGCUGGAUAUAUUUUUCACAAAAUAAUCGACCACACAAAUUUGGUAAUUUUUUUUUCACUUGAUUGGGCUAAUGAUAAAUUGUAUGUAGAAAUCACCUGUAAUAUUCAUCACAAGAGACUUUUUUUGAGCAACCAUCACAAGAGACUAUUUGAACAAUCAUGCCAAAAGACAUACAUAUUAUCCGAAAAUUGAUUUGAAAAUGUGCAUUAGAAUCUUCUUAAUCUCAUAUCUGUUACCUGCAAUCGAAAAAUGAAAUCGUGUUUCGAUAAAGCAAACCCGCAAAAUUUUCCUUUAUCAUGGACCAUUUAUUCAUCUAGAGAUUUGUUCGUAAACAUAAUCAAGAGAAAAAAAUUUCCGGUCGACAAUGUGAGGUAAUAAGUUUUCAUGUGAAAGGACAUCACAAGGAGGGACUGUGUUCAACAGGCUACUGGAUAAUUUCUAAUUUUAUAUGACAGAAAGAAAAAAAAAAUUUCAUGUUUAUUAUUUGGUAGCUUUCAAAGUUUCAGUAUAUACCCAUUUAGAGAGACACUAAGAAGAGCCAGUGACCCUACGGUUCAAUUUGAUUAUUAAAGUGUACCAUUUUGCAAUAAUAUUAUGACGACUGUCUCCACUUUCCCCAUUUCACUACAAAGCAGCCUCGCAUUUACAUAUGUUUGAUUGGACUAAAGAAGAUAAACUUGUUUUAUAUUUCCCUCUUCAUGCUAAAAACUUGUGUUGUAUGUUGAAUCAAACACUGUCGAUCCAUCUUCGUUGUAUGCCUCAAAUAUUCCUCUAGAAGAUGACACUUACCCUAAAAAACAAUCUCUAAAAAAUUUCUGUAUAUGUUUUUUCUCUGUUUAGAAAAAACUGAUAUCAAUUAUAAGUAUUUAAGUAUAGCAUAGUUUUCCCUUUGUUUUUUUGUAGCAUAGUUUCACGAAUACUCUAAUUUUUAGAAAUAAUUUCAUAAGUUGCACACAAAAUCGAAAUAAUUUUGUAUUGAUAUUAUAAUUUACAUAAAUAUUACGAAAAUUAUAAAAUAUGUUUAUACAAAAAAAAUCGAUAUGAACCAGUUUAGCAGGUCCUACAAUCAAACAUAUACUAUAUAAGAUCUAACAAAACAAAUGAAUAUUUGUAAAUAGUACAACUGAUGCUCAUUUCUAUUUGUAAGAAAAUAAUUUAGAAACAAAACAGCAAUCAUAUAUAAGUAAUAAGUGAUACAUUUAUAAACCUAUCACAGUGCAAACAGAUCACGCAUAAACUUAAUAUUUUCAUCACGUGCAAACAUAUUACAUUCAAUAUGCAUUCUAGGUUUUACUGUUAUUCCGAAGUCCACCUUUAUAUAUUUUAAAACUAAUUUUUCAUUUACUAAGUUAUCUUAUCUACAGAUCACAUACAUGAUGUGGUUGUAAGACAUACGUACUUUCAAAUUCAACAGGACGCAAAAAAAAUUCUGAUUUUUAAAUUCAUUUUUAUGAACCUUUUAUUUAUUCAUUCUUCUUUACUCUAUUAAAUUGUGAGUACAUUUGAAAGUGUUACGUGCUUUAAAGAAAACCCGUGCUUGACAAAAAAAACCCGUGCUUACGUACGGCACCUCAUCUAGUUGAUGAUUAACUUAUUGAUUAACUAAUUAAGCGUCUUCUGAAUUGGGUUAAGCAAUUAAGAUAUUCGAGGUAGCUAGUGAUCCACUCACACUUCCGCCACUAAAUAUUGUAAUUAAGAUCUUGGGGGUGUAACUUAUCUAAUUAAAUACGUAAACGAUUUUGCCAGUUCUUAGCUGUGUUCUCGGUCGACACGUGUCAACCUGACAAAAUUUAAUUAAAUAUUCAGGAUAUUUUAAAACAAAAUUCAAUUAGCCCAUUCUCGACAAUUUAUAUGCAGAUAGUUUAAUUAAUUGAAAUAUGAUAAUAGGUCACGGUCAGUUCAGGUGAGUGUUACCUAACCUAGUAUUAAGAUGCCGUUUGUCUUAUUUUGUAACUAAAAGACGCGCCAUAAUACCGUAAUGUGUCUCUAUCCGUCCGUAUUUUAAUAUAAUAUAGGACUUAGGCUUUUGCUUUUCUUUUUUCAGAUAUAUACUAAACAGAGUCUGAAUGAGUUCUUUGCUUUAAGCCUUUAAUAAUAAUCUCCAUUCGAUAUUUAAUCAAAAAGAAAAGAAGACGACAAAUUGAUAACAAAGUUCACUGGAAACAUUGAAUUAUGUUUAAAACCCAAUAUUUCUACCACUGAAAAACUAAGAAAAUCCCGUUAAAAAAAACUAAGAAAUUAUAAAAAGUCUCUUACAUGCAAAUAAAUCUUUUACCACCAGGUAUUAAUUCGAAUCUAAUAAUAUACGUAUGUAAAUAUUAUAGAAAACAGAUGACUAAUAUAGCUUUCGAUCUAACUAUUAAAAAAUUCUAUAAUUAUAUUCUAGUUAAAAUAUUUUAGUCAAUUAACAUGAUGUCUAUAUAUAGAACAAUAUACUCAAAUUUAUUUUGGUUUUAUAAAUUAAUACGAUAUUAUGAAAAAGAGUUUGCAAAAAUUAAGAGCCAAAUACAUAUAUAUAUAUAUAUAUAUAUAUAUAUAUUAAAGAUAUGUUCAUUCUACUUACAAGGUUUUUCUUAUUGUUUUUUUUUUGGUUUUCGUAUUGUUUCUUAUAGCAUCGUAUGGCAUCGUAUGGCAUAGUUUUGUACUUUCGAUAAAUUUUUAUCACUAAUUGGAGUCGCUGUUUAGCGAGAAGAGGCAGUGUAGUCUGUAGAGAGUAGUCGAAUUUGACUUGAAGAGGCAGAUUAUCCGAAGCAUUCACCAUAGCAUCAAACCACAAAUUUAAUAUAUUAAAUUAAAACAACUUUCAGUUUUACAAAAAGAUUUAGUAUUAUUAUUUUCGACGAAGGAGAGCCACAAAAUCAUCUUUGAUGAGCCCCAGCACGAAGAAGCCAAUUGGUAAGCGACAAUAAAAUGUAUACAAUAUUGUUAAAAAUAAGUGACCUUGGAGGCAAAACAAACGCAGACAUGGUUUCAUAUAUAUUUAAUUAAUCGAGAUAAAUCAUUGGCACCUUUGAACCUAACUACAGCGAACUGGCGUCAGCAGAUGUCAAUUUCAAAACGUUGGAAUUUCCAUUUUGAUUUGGACGACUUAAUUAUUAAGUAUUUUUCAUAAACAGUUUUGGGAGAAGUGGAUUAGAUCCAAAACGCUUUACUCAUCCCACUAGAUCUAGGGUUUAAUAAUAGUUCAUAACGCCUCUUUCUAAUAGGAGGAAUAAUGGACUUAUCUAUGCCUAUUAAUUCUAGAAGUAUCAAGGAAAUUGUAAAAUCAUUCGAUUCACAUACUAGUAUACAAACUCUCAAAAUUGAUAUUUGCCUCAAUACAUUUAUGCUAUUAAGUUCUUUGUUUUUUAAAAUUGAUUCGCAUUCGUUCGCAACAAUGCCAUAGAACAACUCAAAUGGUAAAUUUUUUUCAUGAAAUUCUGAAAUUACAUAUUGGUUUAUAUAUAUAAGAAUACAAUAAAAUUCUUUAAAACCCAACCAAUAAUAUUUCAUUUAAUAUAUUAUUGGUAUAGUUUCCAAAAAAUUUAAUACUAUUAAUUAAAUUAUUAUUAUUAUUAUAUAUGCAUACACGAUAUGUAACUUGAGAAUUCCAUAGUAAAAAACUAUUAUUGGAGUUGCUCUUAGAAGUUUAAUUGCAUAACCAAGCUGGAUCGGUUCGCAUAUUGUGGUCUAUAUUGGUACCUUGAAUUUUUCAAGUCACAUUCGUAACCAGAGGUAAAAAUCCUAUAAUGCCGUCUGAAGUAUGAUCUAAUAAUUUUUUUUUUUAAAAAAGAAUAUGAUUUAUUAUAUUAUCAAUACUAUUAAAAGAGAAAUAGCUUUAAUAAAUUUACUUAAAAAAGUUGUUUGGACCAUUUCAUUAACUAAUAAUACUUUGGUCUUACUUCGAUUCGGACAAACAAUAUGUUACCUUAAAUUUCUCUAACAAUCAUUUAGUCAAAAAUUUUAUUUAUUGGAUCCAUAUCUUUUUGUAAACGAAAAGAUUAUACCAUAUAUAUACUACCACAUAAAUUUGAUUCACGAAAAUGUAAUAUCACGUACACUUUAUUAUACUCUUCUUUAAAUGUCUCACUAACUUCAUAAUUAAGAUAAGUUUAAAAAUUAUAUAUUAUGUUAAUUUUAUUUUAUUGAUAAAUAACAAUUUAGUAUUUAAGAUAAAUUUAAAAUUAUCAAAAACCCAACAAAUCUUUUUUUACUGCUCAACAAAAAACCUAUAAAUCUAUACUAUUAAAUUAACCAAAAACCUCUCAAAUAAAUCUUAAGUUUCACCAACUAAACAAAUGUAACUUUUAUAGAAUGCACAAAAAUAUAAUGAAAUGUUAGAUUUGGGCAUUCUGGUCUUCGGAUCAAAUAUAAAUCAGUUUCUUUCAGAUCCAAGUUCUUUAGGUCUUGGGCAUUUAUAUCCAACUAGGUAUUUGAAUUUGUUUUUUGUUUAGAUCGGUUCUUUUUAGUUUCAGGUCAAUUUGAGUUAAUAAUUCAAGUAUCUGUAAAUUUACUAUGUAAUUUGGCUUCAUAAUGAAUCCAGCUCGGUUCGAGUAUUUAUGACAAAAAGAUCUAAAGAAUCCGAAAAGCCAAAAAAUCAAAACACGAAAAUACUCAAAAUCAAAAAAAAUACCACAAUAACUAAAUAUCUAAAAGACCAAAAUUUUACCCGAGAACCAAAAAUAUCCAAUAUUUUAAAUAAAUUUUUAAAUUUUGAAGUUUUACCCAAAACCUGAAACUAUAGCAGAAAAUGUGAAUCCAAAUUUUACAAUAAUAUUUUUAUACUGAAAACAUUUAUGAAUUACUCAAAUAUACAUAAUAUGAACAAAACAUUCUGGGUAAUUUGGAUACCCGGAGUCCAACAGAGACCCGCAGGUCCAAAAAAAUCUAAUAGAUACUUUUUUCCCAAUCCCGAACCUUGACAUGUAUUUCGUAUUGGUUUGGUUCGUUUAUCAAAUUUGGGUAAAAUGUUCAUACUUAAGAAAGAGUUACAUAAGAGUGUAUAUAAAAAAUCUCGGAUAAAAUUAUACAUAAGUUAUAUAAUUUUAAACAAAUUUUUGUAUUCGAUAUAAUACGAUUUUAUAACAUAAUAAUACACAAUAUACUCAAAAUACUAUCUCAUAUCCAACUUCGUAUAUACCUAUAAAAUCUGCGAUUUCGAAACGCGGAUCAAAAUCUAGUUUUCCGGCAAAUCAACUUCUCCACAGUAAGAGCCCGAAUCAAUUCUAGAUAAUAUUGUGCUCAAGUCAAAUCAUGCCUCUCUAUUUUUAGAUGAAGACAUACAUAUCCAUUCAUAUUAUAUGUUUACACAUUCGUACGAACAUAUCUUGAUUUUUCUUUAUAUUUUGGAUUCCCUCUAUGAAACAAACAAACUUUAUAAUGUUCUUUUUCCAGCAUAAUUCAACUUUGGGCGGGGGGUUAAAAGAACUUUAUAUUGUUCUUUACACAUGCAAUCUAAUUCUAGAUAUAUCUUCUUAUUCAAUCAGUGAGAUAUGUGGCUGAUCUUUUUAGGUGGUUUUAAAAUUCCUCUAGGCCGGUCAGAAUUCACAUCCGCCACAAAAGAAAAUGGAUGUGCAUAUCUUUUAGAAAGAAAUUGUAUAUGUCGCUGGUCCACUUAAUCCAUCUACAUUUUCUGUUUGUUUAUAAAGAUUAUAGAUUACAGAGCAUAAGAAAGAAUAAUACAAUAGUAAAGGCCAUUUUCUGAUUUGUAGCCCAAAUACGUACAAGCAAAAGAGAACUAAAAUGAACCAAGCCCAUAUAUGAAAACUGUAUCAAUUUACGCACAGAAUGUCUCUCACAGACCAAAAAAAAAAAGAAGAAGAAAACAAUGAAUCUACUUACUCUUGAGUCUUGAGCUUCCACCAAGAGAGAAAGAUAGAGAAAUAGAUGGAAUAGGUUUCGAGAGUCGCCAGAAGCAAGACGGCAACGCCGACCAGGAUGAUAUGUGUUAUGUGUUAGCCAGAAACUAUGGUAAAGCCUAUGAAUGCAUUCAACUCUAAAAUUAAUCAUAAUGGAAAAAAAUCAAGUGCCCCCGCUACUUAUGUUCCUACAUCCGCUACUGCAUAUAUACGUAAAGAGUAUACAUCUUUUGUAUCCCUUAUUAAGUUCCUAGCUAUAGAAUAAAAUAAGUGAAGUUCAUGGAUUAAUGCAUAUAAAUGACAUAAUGCUUAUGUAGACUUAAUAUUAUAUAUAGACUAACCCCAUGAAAUUGACAUUGAGAUGGUGACUUAAUUAGUUCGAUGAAGAUGAUGAACAUGUAACCCAAAUCAGCGGCAUUGCCGUGAGAAUACACACCGGUGAGUUUAGCCGUUGGAUUCUUUACAUACAACCCCACGAUCUCAUUCCCUCUUCUAGUCAUUAUCUUCACCACUUCAAUUUCCUCGUCUAUGACGACGCAUCAUGUCCGCCGAUAUCCUCAUCUUCCCCGUCGAUUCAUCCGUCACCACCGUGUACGUCGGCGGAUUAGGUGGGAAGAAUGCUAACUUCGCCGUCAUCGUCGACGUCUCUGUUCCCAUCUUCACUAAAGAAUAUUUUGUCUUUUUUUUACGCUUAAGGCGAGAAGAAUAUAGCCUAUGCAAUAUAUCAUGGGUGCAUAAUAAUCUAUUUAUACUUUUUUGUAAAAACUAAUAAUCUAUUUAUAAUUUUAUAUUGUCUAGUUGUUUAUUUAUUUCCACGAUGUUAGAAAUGGAUGAUGGAAAAAGUUUUACAUAUUUUCUAUAUAGACUAGUGUUAUAAAAAUCGGUUUAGGCGGCACCUAGAUAUUCAACUAAACAAUAAUCUUUUACAAGACGCUUAACCACCGUCUACCGAUUUUUAUAACAUUGAUCUAAACAUACUCUAUAAGGCUAAAAGGCUUAACGUGAUAUAAUAUUUCCAUAAUUAUGCACAAAUUAUUUGUUAACAUAAUUGUGCAAUACACCUUUUUUCUUGUGAAAUAUACUUCUCCACACACUGAUCAUUAUUUUAGUUUCCUAAACAGAGUCAGACCUGAAAUUUUCGGGACCAUGUUUGAAAUAAAAAAUAUUUACAAAAUGAUCUAUUUUCUAAAUUUCAAUAAAAUAAUCUUAUUUUAAAUAAUUAACUUAUAAAUCUUGAAGGUUAGAAUAAAAAACUUAAACAGAGUUUAUAUCCUUUUAAAGUAUAAUAAAAUUAUUGCAAUAAUAAUUAUUUAUCUUAAUUUAAUUAUUAAACUUAUUCAUAAAUAAAUCAUAAUAAUAUGAAAUCCAUCUAAUUUUAAACUAAUUUCUCUACAAACAAACAUUGUUUUUUGUUCUUUCUACUUAACAUUAUACAUUUAAUAUUUUAUAGUGUAAAUAUAUUCAACUGGCUUUUAUGUUUCAAAAAACUAAAUAUAAAUUAUUUUUUGGAAGUGGAGCUCCAUAAAUUGAGGGCCCUAUUCAAAACUUUUAUUUCAUGGCGUCAGCCAAGGUUUUGUUCAUAAAUGCCACUUCCGUCUAGUAACAUAUACAGAAUUUGUCCAUCUGAUUUUAGUAAAACAGAACUACAGUAUAGAACUAACGUUUUGUUCUUGUGUUAUUUACAGAAUGUGCCACCUCUGUUAAAGGUAAACCUAGAAUCUUCGUUAAGAGUGUUUAUGUCUUUAUACGUUUAAUUCGGACAAUAUGUUUUUAGUUUGAUACUGUUCUCCUUCGUGACGGAAGUAAUUAAAAAUAAUAACUGUUUUUUUUUUUUUUUUUUUUUUGAAAAAGGAAAAUAAUAACUGUUCUCCGAUGGAAAAUGUGAGUUUGUUGAGAAGUUUCGAGUCUCCAACCUCUCUCAUGACGAUUUUAUUCAGCUCAUGGAAUGACCCAAAGUGUAGACUCCUCUCUCCGCAUGUCGCUAUCUCAAUACAUCUAUUUCCAUGUGUCUUCAUCUAAAGAAAUUAACUAUUUAGUUUAAAUUAAAACUUAGAUACUUAACUAAAAUAAUAAUAUUUGAUUUUUAAGAACCUGCUUUUUAUAGAUCAACCGUUAAGGUUGCUCUUAGUACUAGAUUAUUAGAUGUGAGUGCUAUGUUCGAGACAGUGUCUCUGGACUUGCGGGUUUAGCUUCUGAUAUCUCACUGAGUGAUUUUCAUAUUAUUCAUCACUCUUUUUUUGGGAAAAUUUUUAUGUUUAGCACUUUCAUAAUACUAUUACUCAUCUUUACCACUACUUAAAAUGAUAUUUUUAAAAAUACAUUCUUUAUUAAGCGGUAAAAAACUCUUAUACUCUUGUUAUAUAUAUAAUAAUUAUUUAAAUAAAUAAAUUAAAAAAAUUAUGUUUUCAAAUUAUACUUUUUCAAAUUCGAACUUUUUAAAUUUCUUUUUUCAACAUGUUUUAUUUUUGAAAAAUCGAAAAAUUAUGUUUAAAACUAUUUUUAAGUAUUUAUUUAUAUAUUUAUCAGAAUCCUAAAUUUCACAUUCUAAAAUUUUUAUCUCACUCCUCAACUCUAAAUCUUAAGUGUAGAUUAGUUAACCCUAUAAAUAUGAAUAUCUUUUAUCCUUCAUUAAAAAUAAAAAUAAAAAUGGUUAAUGUAAACAUUAAAAGUGGUACCAUGAAAAUAAUAUUUGGGGUAAUUUUCCUUUUAUUUACAGGAGAGCAUAAUAAGUAUUUGAAUAUCUGGACAGUCUGGUGUUUUGGAUCAUCACGAUUUUAUUUCAACUUUACACGAACUUUCUAUGUUUAUUUCGAUUAUCUAAACUAUUAAAACAGAAGUACAAAUAGUACUUAACCCUUAAUUUUCCUCAAAAAUUACAAAGGAAUGCCAUUGAGUUAAUAACUUAAAAUAAACCUAAAUUACCUUUAUUCUCUAAUUCGAUAGAGUUUUAGCCGCAUAGUUCUCUAACUAAACGCUUUUGUAUUCUUCUUCUUCUUCUCAUCACGCUGGUAAUGGGCGACGACCCUAAGGAGUCAAUCCUUCGGGAGAUUCAGUAGAACAGUGUAUCCAAGGAUUAGUGAGCUUAAUGGUAGUGUCGCUGGAACCAAGGAUAUAUCGUUUUGUUGCAGGAAACUUGGUCGGUUUUCUUGUAAUAGCGAGGUUAAGCGACUGGUUAAUGGUGAUUCUGGUGAAAAUAGUACAAGUAAAGAAACGAGAAGAAUUUUUCUCUUAGGCUUCGACUUAGAUUACGAUUUCUGAGCAUGAGAUUUGGGAAAUUCGAUCUCAGAGCAUCAGUGGAAGAUUUUUGGUUGUUUUUGAGAAAGAAUAUCAAAAGAGUGAUCUUAUUUACUGGUGUGGCUGUUAUUUUUGGACUAUGCUAUAUGUUCUUGAGGUUAACAUCUGUUCCAACACCGUCCAUUGUUCCUUACUCCGACUUCGUAACGAAUCUCCGAGGUGGUUCUGUUUCAAAGGUUUUGCUCGAAGAAGGUUCUCCUAGAAUCUAUUAUAACAUUCAUGAGAAUGUUGAGGUUGUUAAAGAUUUACACAAGUCUGAGGCUUUAGAAGAACCCGCGACUGAAGUAGCUGCUAAGAUAGACGUUUGAAAGGUUCAAGUUUUGGCUCAUGUGUGGAAGUAUGUGACGAGGGAAAUAGAUUAUGAUGAGAAGUUGCUUCUUAGUUUGAUGAGGGAGAAAGAGAUUACUUUAACUCUCCCUUCUUUGUCUUCUUCUUCCUCUCAUCAAGCUGCUCAAAUGUUAUCACUUAUUUCCUCUUUUCAUCUCUCUCAAAAAAUAUGUCCUUAAAGUUUUAUAGGUUUCUUCUGCGAUUUAGGGCUUGAUGGCAAAAAAAAUCAAAGUAGGUUUUGUUUAGAUUAGUGAUGAAUCUUCUUGUAGUUAUUCAAUUUUGUGUUAGGGUGAAACUUAAACGUGAUCUGAUCAAGAUUUUAAGAAACAAGAUCUUUGCCUGAAGAUGUAUGAAAUUAUGAGAGAUUGCUCUGUUUAGUUUCCUUUAACUUAUAGUUUCUUCCAGAUGGUUUAGUUAUUACCAGUGGACAUAAGAAUCUGGUUUUGAUUAUCUGCUAUUCUAUUUUGAUGGUUUUACUUUUCCUGACUGAGAUCUUUUUGAUGUUUAGACUUUUACAAGUUAAUCAGAAGCUUGGCAUUAAAAAAGUUCAAGACUGAAUGCUGCAUCACCAGAUAUGGUUUGAAAACUCCAAAAGACUUAUAAGCACAAAGAAGAUGAGUAAUGGAGAGAGUGCUAAAAAAUGGAGAGAUUGUGACUGUGUUAUUAUCAACACCUUUGUUCUAACUCAUUUGUUUUACUUGCCAUUUCAAGUGUAAUAAAAUAAUGUGUUGAUAUGUAAUAGAACAAAAUGAGCUUUCGUAAAACUUUUGUAUAGUUAAAAGUUUUGUAUUCGAGGUUAACUCUUUUGCACAUUGGUAGAGAAAUUAUUGAUGUCUUAAAUGGAUAAUUCGUUGAUUAUAGGAUGAAAAGAAAAGUCUUUGUCAUCGCAAUCAAAAGAAACUAAGAGUUAGACUACUAAUCACUUAAUAAGAAUAUUUUUAUGUCUGAAUUUGUACCAGAAGGUUUCUUAAUUUUACAGAACCAUCUACAUCAGAAAUAUUAACGUCCUUCUCUUUUAGCUACGCAGGCGUUUAAUAGUGACCUGCAAAAACAUCCAAAAGGAUGAGACAACAUCCGUUUUCACAACCUAUUUCAUUCUCCUGAAUUUCUUAAUUGACAUUAUUAUCAAUUGCUAAUGAUAUUCUAAAACACAGCUUAAGAACAACAAAGACAGAGAUUUUACCUUUUCAUAAAACAACAACAAAGACAUGACUAGAAAAAGAAAGAGAAAAGGUAACUUACGUGUUUGAUACGCAACAUCAGGAGCAAGCAUAAGUGCAGUCUCAGGUAACAAGUUGGUAAUCCCAACACUCAACUUUUCUUUUUUCUUUUCCAGACACCUGUUAUCUCAGCUCUUUUCGAUCACAAAAGAUUAUGAAUUUUUCAGUUUUGGAGUAUGAAUUUUGAAGUAUCCCAAUACAAAAGAGUACGAAAUUUGGGAAAUUUUUAGUUGUUUAACACACAUCAUUUCAUUAAACAUCAAUCUAUAAAUAGUAAAAAUAUAUGUUUCGUUUUCUCCUUUAAGAUAUUAGUCUAUCUAAUUAUACAGUAUAUAACAUCAAAAUUUUGACAAUUUAUUUAACAAUAUUGUUAUAUAAUUCUAAUUUAAACACAUAAAACUGAAUCACACCCGCGCGGACGCGCGGGUCAAACACUAGUUGAAUUUUAAAAUUGUUUACUUUGUUUUUGUAAUUCAGUUUAUAUAAUUUGGCGUAAGUAACACGCCGUGAGUAAGGAUGAGACGAGUGUUACGAAAUCUCUUACUAGAUUUGAGAACUUUGAGAAGUCGAACAUGAUUUUUGAAACAAUAAUUCACAUAUAUAACAAUUCUGCUUAAUAAAAUUAGAGGCGAACAAGAGAAAUUAAUGUUUUCUUGGUCAUUAAUAAUUUCAUACUUUUCUAAGACAUAGUUUUCUAAUAAAAUGGGUCGGACCUCUCUGUUGACGAUUUUUUAAAGAGAUAAAACGGUUAAACCCCAAAAUUUCAGGAAGGAAAAAAUAUGAAAAAUGGAGAUCAGGCUCACCAUGUUGAUCUUCUUUGUAACUAUUAUCUUUAAUUGAAAGAAGAUAAAGAGAGAUGGAAGAAACUGGAGCAAAACCGACAAGGCGAGAUGGAAGAAGAUACAUAUAUCAAAGAUGAUCCUAUGGCCAGAGCUGAGGCCGAGGUUGUAAGCCAGCUCUAAGCCAUGAAGAUAACUCCCAAUGAAAGUAAGCUUUGUGGGAUUUCUCUCACGCUCCUUCGUCUUGUCGAAUUACGAUUCGAUCUUCGCAUGAGUGUGUAACACUAUUACCUCAUUAAGUUUGAGAUUAGUUUGUUUAAGUAGUAACCAUUUUAUUGUUAUACAUUUUUUGGAAAGUUAAAACAAAAAUCAAUGUUUUUAAACCGGAUGCUCUUCAUAUAAAAUGGGUCAUCAAUGAUAUUAAGAACCAUUUGCUUUUUGGAACAAAGAAGAUAAUCUAAAUUCUACUCAGAGAAUUUAAACCCGUCAAGUUUAGAUCCUGCUGGUUUAUCCAUAAACCAGAUCAGAUUCCCACUGCUUGGCUGGACCAUCCUAGCAGGCAGGGAAAGAGAGCUUUCUAGUGACGG